RNAcentral lists this ribosomal RNA (253 nucleotides) under uncultured bacterium. Its description in RNAcentral is "partial 16S ribosomal RNA". It matches the Rfam family "Bacterial small subunit ribosomal RNA", at positions 524 to 776 of the family's 1533-position model. The record is from RNAcentral.
UACGUAGGGUGCAAGCGUUAAUCGGAAUUACUGGGCGUAAAGCGUGCGCAGGCGGUUUUGUAAGACAGAUGUGAAAUGCCCGGGCUUAACCUGGGAACUGCAUUUGUGACUGCAUGGCUAGAGUGUGUCAGAGGGGGGUAGAAUUCCACGUGUAGCAGUGAAAUGCGUAGAUAUGUGGAGGAAUACCGAUGGCGAAGGCAGCCCCCUGGGAUAACACUGACGCUCAUGCACGAAAGCGUGGGGAGCAAACAGG